AUUGAACGCUGGCAGCAUGCUUUACACAUGCAAGUCGAACGGUAACAGGUUAAGCUGACGAGUGGCGAACGGGUGAGUAAUGCAUCGGAACGUGCCCGGUCGUGGGGGAUAACGCAGCGAAAGCUGCGCUAAUACCGCAUACGAUCUGAGGAUGAAAGCGGGGGACAGUAAGGCCUCGCGCGAUCGGAGCGGCAGAGGUCAGAUUAGGUAGUUGGGGGGGUAAAGGCUCACCAAGCCAACGAUCUGUAGCUGGUCUGAGAGGACGACCAGCCACACUGGGACUGAGACACGGCCCAGACUCCUACGGGAGGCAGCAGUGGGGAAUUUUGGACAAUGGGCGAAAGCCUGAUCCAGCAAUGCCGCGUGCAGGAAGAAGGCCUUCGGGUUGUAAACUGCUUUUGUACGGAGCGAAAAGGUCUCCUCUAAUACAGGGGGCUCAUGACGGUACCGUAAGAAUAAGCACCGGCUAACUACGUGCCAGCAGCCGCCGUAA
RNAcentral lists this ribosomal RNA (493 nucleotides) under uncultured bacterium. RNAcentral describes it as "partial 16S ribosomal RNA". It matches the Rfam family "Bacterial small subunit ribosomal RNA", at positions 29 to 523 of the family's 1533-position model. The record is from RNAcentral.